CCUUGGCUAGCUCAGUCGGUAGAGCAUGAGAUUCUUCAUCUCAGGGUCGUGGGUUUGAGCCCCUCGUCGGGGG
Molecule: transfer RNA, 73 nt
Filed under: Danio rerio (zebrafish)
Lineage: Eukaryota; Metazoa; Chordata; Actinopteri; Cypriniformes; Danionidae
Rfam family: tRNA
About the family: Transfer RNA (tRNA) molecules are approximately 80 nucleotides in length. Their secondary structure includes four short double-helical elements and three loops (D, anti-codon, and T loops).
Source: Rfam by way of RNAcentral